GACAGGAAACAUCAGCACUGGCUGGGAGCGGUGACUCAUGCCUGUAAUCCUGGCACUUUGGGAGGCCAAGGCAGGCAGAUUGCAUGAGUCCCAGAGUUCGUGAUCAGCCUCGGCAACACAGUGAAACCCUGUCUCUAUGAAAAGAAGAAAGAAGAAAAAAAGAAAAGAAGAAGAAGGAGGAGGAGGAGGAGAAGAAGAAGGAAAAGAAAUCACAUUUCUUCACCCAUGUAAUUGGCAAGAACUUAAAUCUCUAAUAAUAUCCAGUGAUGGGAACGGGGGAAACAGAGCUCCCAAGAUGGCGACGGG
RNAcentral lists this long non-coding RNA (306 nucleotides) under Homo sapiens (human). Its description in RNAcentral is "HSALNT0196385". Lineage: Eukaryota; Metazoa; Chordata; Mammalia; Primates; Hominidae. The record is from RNAcentral.